This 363-nucleotide ribosomal RNA is filed under the name uncultured eukaryote. RNAcentral describes it as "partial 18S ribosomal RNA". It matches the Rfam family "Eukaryotic small subunit ribosomal RNA", at positions 592 to 976 of the family's 1831-position model. The record is from RNAcentral.
CAAUAGCGUAUACUAAUGUUGUUGCAGUUAAAAAGCUCGUAGUUGAACUUCUGGUAGGAGUGUCCCGGCCUUUUUGUUUUUACAAAUUGUAUGCUGUGUGACAUCUCUGGCCAUCCUUCUUCUUUGUUUAAAGAAGAUCUUUCACUGUAAAAAAAUUAGGGUGUUCAAAGCAAAAGUUUCUUUGGAAUAUAUUAGUAUGGGAUGAUAAGAUAGGCUCUAGAUGCUAUUUUGUUGGUUUGCACAUUUAGAGAAUGAUUAACAGGGACAGUUGGGGGUAUUCGUAUUUACAUGUCAGAGGUGAAAUUCUUGGAUUUUGGAAAGACGAACUACUGCGAAAGCACUUACCAAGGAUGUUUUCAUUAA